UACGUAGGGCGCAAGCGUUGUCCGGAAUCAUUGAGCGUAAAGAGCUCGUAGGUGGUCUGUUACGUCUGCCGUGAAAACCUAGGGCUUAACCCUGGGCCUGCAGUGGAUACGGGCAGACUAGAGGUAGGUAGGGGAGAAUGGAAUUCCCGGUGUAGCGGUGAAAUGCGCAGAUAUCGGGAGGAACACCGGUGGCGAAGGCGGUUCUCUGGGCCUUACCUGACACUGAGGAGCGAAAGCGUGGGGAG
This 245-nucleotide ribosomal RNA is filed under the name uncultured Actinoallomurus sp. RNAcentral describes it as "partial 16S ribosomal RNA". It matches the Rfam family "Bacterial small subunit ribosomal RNA", at positions 524 to 768 of the family's 1533-position model. The record is from RNAcentral. Lineage: Bacteria; Bacillati; Actinomycetota; Actinomycetes; Streptosporangiales; Thermomonosporaceae.